This 87-nucleotide small nucleolar RNA is filed under the name Nannospalax galili (Upper Galilee mountains blind mole rat). RNAcentral describes it as "Small nucleolar RNA ACA64 (ENSNGAG00000008382.1)". It matches the Rfam family "Small nucleolar RNA ACA64". Lineage: Eukaryota; Metazoa; Chordata; Mammalia; Rodentia; Spalacidae. The record is from Rfam by way of RNAcentral.
AUUGGUCGUGGCAUCCAGAACCACCAAGAGCCUCAGCUCACCUCCAGCUGCCAUGAUGUGGGAGGUGAAACCCAGGCCUCAACAGGC